This 4189-nucleotide long non-coding RNA is filed under the name Sus scrofa (pig). Its description in RNAcentral is "lncRNA (ENSSSCG00050048820.1)". Lineage: Eukaryota; Metazoa; Chordata; Mammalia; Artiodactyla; Suidae. The record is from RNAcentral.
AUGGCUUGUUGAUUUUAAAACAAUGUUUUAGCCUCAUCACUGUAAUUUUUAUUAGGUGUGUGAUUUUCUGUCAUGUCCAAUAUGUUAUUUAAUAAUAAAAGUUUUAAAAAAUUCCUGAAUAGCACGAUUUAUUUUUUUUCUGAUUAUGAAAUACGCUGAAGUUUAGAAAAAUGUGGUCACUGAUUUUAGUGACCACACUACAACCUAAUUUUACAUUUCUUUGGUCAUUUUAGGAACCAUGUAGUUUUUCUCCAACUGAAAUGUCUACCCAGGAUUUGAAAUUUGAACUGUAGGGACUUCUAUAUUCCUGAAACCAGUUAGGGCCUCAAUCAUACAAUCCAGUCAAGUUCUUACUCAUGCAUAAGCUCCCCAAGGGCAGGGGUUUUACCUCUGUUGUUCUCAAGAGCCUAAUGCAGUGUCAGGCACAUAGUAAUGCAGGAUCAAGCGUGCUUAUGUAAUUUUAAAACACAGUCCCUCAGUUCUUUUGCUCCGGAGUCCAAAUAAUAACAAUACUAGAAACACAGAGUGAAACAGGAAUAACAUUUGUCUCAGCAAAAUGACAUGUAUAUAGUUCUCAGAAAACUAGCUGUAUCUUCUUGUUUUUAUAACUGUAAGAUUAUUAAAUAAACUUCCGGACUGAGUGUUUAAGAUGGUGUUUCCUAUGCACAUAACUGGAUGGAUAAUCAGAAAUUCUGAGAGAUGAAGCUCUCAUUUUGAGGAAAUGCAAAACAAUGGAAUACAUUUUAUUACUUUGCAUUUAAAUCAUGGGGGCAUUGAAUACUUAGAAGUGUGUUCUAGCUAUUCCUGUCCUCUUUCUUAGUAGGCAGUUAUUUUCACUGACAGGUGAGAACGUUUUACCUGUUUUUGUUUGAUAGAUGUGAGCUCUUAGGGCCUGCUUUUUCCUUCCAUGUGCCCUCUCCCCUUCUUCUUCCCAAGUAAGUUGUUGAAACAGGACUAUUUUGAGGUAAAGUGAGGAAGAAGAGAAGUACACUCUCUGCUGGCUCUCUCUAAACCAAACGGAAAGAUCAAAGUUAGGGUCAGAGCUAAUAUCAUCAACUUAUAAAAGAACCUACUCAUCAUGUCUAACUUUCUUUGACAGUACCUACAAAGGCUUCUGUAUCCAAGGAUGAUUUUAUUGUCAAUAUGCAAUCAGGCAGGUCAAUGUUCAUUUCAUUUGUGAAGAAAACCACAUCAAGCAAAUUUCAUUAUAAAACCUAAAAAUCAAUAUACAUUCAUGCCAGUGUUCUCUAAAUAAUGAUUGUGAGUUCUCCUUUACCCUGAAAUAACAUUUUUUAAGGAUUGGAUUUUUACUAAAAGAAGAAAGAAGCCAUGCUUUUUCCUUGGACAGUAUUUGUACUGGAUAUUAAGACAGUGAUAUUAAGAAUGACUUUUGGAGUCCAUUUUCUUUUAAAUGUGUUUAUAGGUCCCUUAUGGUGCCUACAUACGUUGACACUGACCAGAGUGAGAAAAUACACUGACGUGUCAACUGGUAAGUAUCAGAGUAAUGAUGAAAAUCAUAGCUAAUAGUGGUUCAAUAUGCACUAUUUAUGGACCGUAUGGUGAGAAUUUUCAUUUGAUUUUUGUAUUUAAUCUUUAUAACCAUCCUUGUCAGGAGUCCAUAGUUUGUGUAGGCUAAAUGCUAUCAGCUACAACCACCACAGAUUAGAUGUUUUUAUUUCACCCAACAGUUUAAUACACAGGUGUCCUUCCAGUUGUGGCCCACCCUUUCACAGAGCUUCCAAAUCCUAUGCUGGAUUCCCUUUUCCCUCUGACGUAAGAAGGGAGAAAGAAAGUGAGGAGAGCAAGAGUGAUUUUACAUGGAAAGGCAUGUGUCCUUUUUUCCACAUUCCAUUGGGGAGAAUUCAGUCCUGUGGCCACACCUAAUUGCAAGGGUGUCUGGGAAAUGCAAUCCACCAGGGACUUACAAGGCUGAAAUUUUCACUUUCUCUCUAUGAAGGAUCCUCCACUAAACCUUGUUGUAGUGCCACUGAUAAGGCUAAAACUCUAAAACAGAAGUCAUGAGUACACCCAACUGGGGCACAUUGGAGGAAGCAGCAGGCAUUCCCUGGGUUCACUUUUCUUCCUGUAGAGACAAUAGGGAGGAAAUGAUAGAGACUUCACCGUCAGGUCUCUCAGGUCUCUUUUUGGAAAACUCUUCCAUCCUUCUGGGUUGCAUCAUCCAGCCCCCGAAGAGCUGCUUAGGAAGCUGCAUUCCACAUGUGCUGUGGUGAUCCAUCUAAAUAUGAAAAUAACAGGGGGCAGCAGAGGUUUUUGGGAUGUGGCAGGUGGUCCUCAGGAGGCUAAAUCUAGUAUGCUUGCCAUCAACCUUGUAGACCGAGGUGGAACAAAGUGGCAGAGUGUCCAGUAGUAGGGGAGGCAGAAUAAACUUUGGGGAGGUGUGUGUGAUGUCACGGGUGCAGUUGAUCAUAGUUAGGACCCUAGGUCCUGGCACACUCAAGUCCUUACUGGGCCCAUGAAUAUGUUAGCUUUCUUUUCCUUUCCCCAUCCCCAUAUGUGACUAAAUACUACUCUUUUAUUUAGAGCCUCAACUUUGUUUCCUCCUCUUGCCCCAUCUUUCUUUUCAUUGCUUCCUUAUCAUCUCUUCAUUCUCUGUUUAAAUGGCCCUACUUCCUUUACUCCAUCCAAAGCUCCUUGGAAGCAAGGGGGUUUUAUUAUUAUUAACUGUUUUUUACCCCAAAGUAAACACAUAGUAGAAAAGCAAGUAGGAAUGAAUUGAUGAAUGAUAAUGACAACUCAUAUUUAUUAACAUUUGCCAUAUUAUAAGCAGUAUAUCAAUUUCCCUAAUAAUUGGAUUUUCAGAGCAUUAUUAAGGUAGUAUCUGUUGCUUUAAUUCUUUUUCUGUCAGUUCUAAGAAUAUUAUGCACUCAUAGGAAUGUGUAAUUUUAUGCCAGUCUACACUCCAUAUAGAUUUUGUCUUUUCUUAUGUCAUAUAUAUCGUUUUCCCAGAUGAAUUACAAUCAAUUCUUAUUUUUAAUUCCCAUAUUAAAGGCAUUCCAAACCAAAUGUUUUUAACAACUACCACUCAAGAGGAGUUUAAAGAACAACUUAGCUAAUUCUUCUUAUUGAAUUUAAAAUUUGUUUUUACUUUGUUGUCAGUUAAAAAUAUUGAGACAAGUUUGAGGCAUUUUGAUUUAUAAGCAGAGUAUGUACUUGGUCAUUCAAAUCAUCAAAUAUACGCUUUGCUUUUCCCAUAUAUAUUUAGUCUUCAUCCCUGGUUCCUGAGUUACAGCUGCCAAAAGUCUUGGAAUGUCCUAAGUACUAAGCGUGACCAAGGUGUAUCUUGCCAGGUUAAUGAGGUUAAUUUUCAAUGAGGUUUGGUUGGCCAGAGAACCAACCCUGUAAUCAGAGGGUCAGAACUCUCCAUCCCACCCCCUGACCUCUGGGGAGGGGAGGGACACUGGAGGUUGAAUCAUUUGCCAGUGGCCAGUGAUUUAGUCAAUAAUGACUAUAUAAUGAAGCCUCUGCAAAAACCCAGGAGACCAGGGUUUGGAGAGUUUCUGGGCUGUUGAACAUCCGGAGGGUUUGUGAAAAACAGUGUUCCUGGAGGACAUGGAAGCUCUGUGCCCUUUCCCCAAUGCACCCCUGGCAUCCUAUGGUUCUUGAGUUUUAGUCUGGUAAGUAAAAUGUUUCUCUGAGUUCUCUUCUCUGAGUUCCAGUAAAUUAAUCAAACCUGAACAGGGAGUUGUGGGGAAUUCUAAUGUGUACUUCUAAGAAAGUUGUGCAGGGUUGUGUAGGUAACAACCAGGGCUUACACUUAGCAUCCUGAGUUGGAGGGGGUCUUGGAACCUCCAAUUUGUAGCCUGUUGGUCAGAAGCACGGGGAACAACCUGGGUUUGUGACUGGCAUCUGAAAUACAGAAGGAGGCAGUCCUGUAGGACUGAUCUCUUAAUCUGUGGAGCCCAAUGCUGCAUCUGGGUACAUAGUGUCAGAAUUGAGUUGUAGAAUUCCCGUCAUGGCUGAGUAGAAACGAACUGACUAGUAACCAUGGGAAUGCGGGUUCGAUCCCUGGCCUCCAUCAGUGGGUUAAGGAUCCAGUGUUGCUGUGAGCUGUGGUAUAGAUUGCAGACACAGCUUGGAUCUGGUGUUUCUAUGUCUGUGGUAUAUGUCAGCAGCUGUAGGUCCAGUUCAACCCCUCGCCUGGGAACCUCUGUAUGCUGCAGGUGCAGCC